This 235-nucleotide unclassified non-coding RNA is filed under the name uncultured fungus. RNAcentral describes it as "partial contains 18S rRNA, ITS1, 5.8S rRNA, ITS2 and 28S rRNA". Lineage: Eukaryota; Fungi. The record is from RNAcentral.
AAGGAUCAUUAACCAGCCGUGAAGGUCGCCCUGAAAAGGGAAUGACCUCUCACCCGGCCACCCUUGCUUAUUUUAACCUGUUGCUUUGGUGGGCCCGCCGUAAGGCCGCCGGGGAACUUGGAUUCUCGGGCCUGUGUCCAUCAAAGUCUUUACUGAACUCAGCAAGUUUUUCUAUAUUGUCUGAGCAUGAAAGCAUAACCUUUUAAAACUUUCAACAACGGAUCUCUUGGUUCCG